RNAcentral lists this ribosomal RNA (440 nucleotides) under uncultured bacterium. Its description in RNAcentral is "partial 16S ribosomal RNA". It matches the Rfam family "Bacterial small subunit ribosomal RNA", at positions 338 to 795 of the family's 1533-position model. The record is from RNAcentral.
CCUACGGGUGGCAGCAGUAGGGAAUCUUGCUCAAUGGGGGAAACCCUGAAGCAGCAACGCCGCGUGGAGGAUGAAGGUUUUCGGAUUGUAAACUCCUUUUGUUAGAGAAGAUAGUGACGGUAUCUAACGAAUAAGCACCGGCUAACUCCGUGCCAGCAGCCGCGGUAAUACGGAGGGUGCAAGAGGUACUCGGAAUCAUUGGGCGUAAAGAGCGCGCAGGCGGGAUAGUAAGUACGAUGUGAAAACCUAUUGCUUAAACAUUGAACUGCAUUUGAAACUGUUAUUCUAGAGUGUUGGAGAGGAGGGUGGAAUUCUUGGUGUAGGGGUGAAAUCCGUAGAGAUAAAGAGGAAUACUGAUUGCGAAGGCGACCUGCUAGAACAUAACUGACGCUGAUGCGCGAAAGCGUGGGGAGCAAACAGGAUUAGAUACCCGAGUAGUC